UUGGGUUUUAUUUUCCUCCAGAUUCUGUUUUCAGGGAGGAAGUUCCAGCACAACCUGAUCCAGGUUGCCAACGCUUUGUGGCCUGGUUGAGGAGGCAGCAGCGCAGCGCACUGUAAAACCCAUUGAUGAAACUUUUCAUUUCUCUUUACGCCGUGAUGGUGGCGCUGCAGAGGCCUAACGGGUCGGGCCAGAACCACAUGCUGAGACGUGAACAGGAUUCGGUUUGGAAACCCGAAGACGAUCCUACAAAACAUCCGAACAUUUGGACCGACCCGGGUUCUGCUGCAGGACGGUGAUCAGCUCUGACAGGAGAAGAGCUGGCCGACUGUCUCAUGACAGACAAGGAUAAUAAAGAAAUCCAUCUUCAUCUUUCUCCCCGCUAAGAAUAACUGCUGGAAGAGAUGAAAGAUGAAAAAUACUCGUCUUGAUACAAACUCCUUCAGCAGAGAGAAAAUCUUCAUUUAUCAGUGAAAUAUGUGACAAAAGCCAGAACAAGUGUCGCCUCGGGAUGUUUGGAGUUGAUUCAGAGGAUUCUCAUCUUUCUAAAGAUGUCAAACACAUGAAGAUGUGACAAAUGUGAAGAAGAAAAGAUGUGAACAAACAAACGCCGCAGAGAAAAUCCACGGCAGAGAAUCAGCUGCACCAGAGACUCCAACACACCAUCAGCUACGGGCAGCAACAUGAAAAUCCUCAUGAACUACUCUCCAGAUUCCCACCAGAGGUUCCCAAAGUGGGGGCCGGGGCCUCCAAAGGGACACCAAGUCAGGGCGGAGGGAUCGAACAUUGAUGGU
Molecule: long non-coding RNA, 791 nt
Organism: Gambusia affinis (western mosquitofish)
Lineage: Eukaryota; Metazoa; Chordata; Actinopteri; Cyprinodontiformes; Poeciliidae
Exons: 4
Source: RefSeq, a predicted model, not a curated record